Molecule: long non-coding RNA, 3625 nt
Filed under: Cricetulus griseus (Chinese hamster)
Lineage: Eukaryota; Metazoa; Chordata; Mammalia; Rodentia; Cricetidae
Description: lncRNA (ENSCGRG00015034002.1)
Source: RNAcentral
AAAGAGAGCCCCUGAGAAACCAAAGAGAUAGCUCCAAUUACCGGUUGCUCAGGCAAGAACGAUCAGCACAUUCUGUGGGCUGUUGACCCAAUUGCUGGACUGGACAUUGAGUUUUUUGGGGGAAACUGUCCAAUUUGUGGAGGCUCCUCGCUCUGAGGGUCUUUCAAGCAGAACAGAGACCACACGGAGGGAUAGACCAGGCCGAAGCAAUGGAGAAGACUCCCUUGGUAAGUCAGAGAGAGCAACCCUGCCUAUAACUUGAUCUUGAACUUCUGCUUCUAGUCCUGUGAGGAAAUGAGUCCCCACUGUUUAAGUCACAUGGCCUGGGAUAUUUUAUAAUGAUCAUCCUGUCAAACUAAUGAACAUGGGACCAAAACUCAGAGUCACAGAGCUGCUUGGGCCUGCUGUCUGUGGCCCCAGGAGCGGUUCCCUGCUGUUCUCAACUCAGCAGUCCAUCUCUUCCUCACAUCAAUGUCUCUUAGCAACCCAUUUGUGGCCCAGGUCAGGAAUCCUUCUUCAUUUGGGAUGGAGGGAGCAUCAUGAAGCCAGAAAUGUGAACUAAGGAAGACACGUGGUACACCUCUACUUCAGACAGUUAAACACAUUAACAGAAUUCCUAGGGAAACAUCCAAAAGGACAGGAACGAAAGGGUUGAACUUACGCAGCACAUGAGGCCUGUGGAACACAUUGAUGUGCUUAAUCGUCGUGAUCACCCCAGAAAGACCAUAUGACUGCUCGAGCCUCACGGGGAAGAAACAAGGAACCUUGAUCGAGAUUCUGGUACAUUGGAAUUCAUCAUGGAAUUGACACUAUCACUUGUGCUGUACGUGGACCGAAAUACCUGACUCUGACUUCAAUUCCACACGCCAUCUCAGCACAGCCACUUGUCAUGGAAGAGAGGAAGCCUCGAACCCCUUUGCUAGUAGCUGAGGGAUGUGUGGUGCACUGCCUGGUCAGUAGGGCACAUAGAAGGGGUAUCUUCUGGAAGAGUCUAUGACGUAGCAGCGAAAUCAAAAGUGAUGAGCCGACAUCCCCGGGAGAAUGCUCUGUGCACCAGUGGUCUUGCCAACAAGCACUGAAACGCAUUGCAUCCUCGUCUUCUGCAAAGCUUUAGAAUGCCCAUCUAAAACACCAGUUUUCGUUAACCUCAGACAUCCUUAACACAUUUCACCAAACAAGAACACCCCUCCUCAAGUAACAUCCAUUACCUUUGCACAGCCCCCAAGGGAAGGCAGAGCAUAUCUGAGGGAAAUGGUACUAGAAGAUUCCAGAAGCCCAAGCAGAAAUUCUGAACUAUUUCUUACCUCUGCUGUGCCUGGCGAUGCUUCUUACACUUUGCAAUGUGAAGCCAUUGUUUAAGCCGCACUGCCCUCUGAUCUUCACACAUGUAAGCAUGGAACAAGCAUUAACUGAAGGUACUUCUCCAUUCCCCUGCACCCUCCCAGGCGAGAAGGACCCUGCAAACACACAGCUCCUGGCUGAAAAGACUAUCUAAAAGGGAAGACAGACAUAUGAACACACAAGAGUAAAAAUCUUCUAUGAGGCAAAGUACACUUGUGGAGCUGGGGUGAGGUACAGGGAAGCCUCCCGUGAAGUGGGUUCUAAGAAGCAAUCAGAAGAGGAAACCCUUGGAGCUGUAAGGAAGCACCCCGCCCCCACCCCCGGCCACAUGGAGAAGUGCAUAUGGAGAGAGCUGUCCAGAAAACCCACUCUCCUAACGGUCACAGUCCAAUCCUCAGACACAUCUUCGAUAACUCAGUCCUAAUGAACCCAGAACGAGAAGAACCAAGGAGUCAGCCGGCCACCAGAACCCUGGCAGUACAACCCCUGCAAAAAUGGCCAGGCAGCCCCAGUUACUCAAAUGGCCUUCAUCAGGACCCAACCAUUGUGAACCAGAGACAAGCUCUCCUCUGCACUGUUCCAAUUCCUAGCCCAAAGAACUGCGGAUAUCAUAAGAUGGAGCUGUUGUUUGGUGCCACUCACACCUGGGGUGGUUUCUCACACAGCAGGAGACCGACAGAACCCUGGAGAAGCUUGGACAAUAAAUAAUCUAAUGGAAAUGAGUUGUUUAGUGAAUAACGGAAGAGCUACAGCUUGGGAAGAAAGGGUUCUGAGGUCCGAAGGUGGUGGUGGCCCCAACACAAUGCGACACCUUAAUGCCGCUGUACCCAACACUUUAAAACGACCGCUGUAAUACACUGUGUGUCACAGGCAUUUUACACAAUGGUUUUUUUUUUUUCAAUCCUGCGAAAACAGAGGCAGUUGUGCACAUGAAUUUCUCAGAUGCACAUUCCAUAUUUCAUAGUAUCUCAUCAGCCUGUCCUCUGCCCCAGUACGUGUCACUUAAUAGCCACUAUUGUGACAUUGUGGGGAGUGGCCCUGGAGAAAGUGUACAAUAUCCACAGGAAAGGUCUCACUAGCAGAUGGGCACCGUUCAUUGGAGAGAAUCUAGCAUGAUUCCAGGUGCCAUGCAGCAAGGCAGGACUGUGGGUCAGAGAUUCUAGCACCCAGAGAGGCUUGGGAAAGGGGUCUCUUCCGCUGGAUGGAGAAGGGGAUUCAGGAGGGGAUGAGAGAGCAUCCUCAUUGGGCCACUAUAUCCUCCUGAGCCUUACUCUGUGUUUGCACCUGUUUCCAGACCUUGGCUCUGAGCCAUCCAGACUCUGUAACAGGGCACUUCGAGGCCCAGGGAGCUAACCUGCUAACUGUCCGUCAAGUCUAGAAGGAGCCUUGAACCUGACCCGAAGGUUUCCUACAGAUUUCAGUGUCUCCCUCGGUUUGUGCAGAGGUCCUAAGCCCUAUGGCUUAUUUGCAGCUUGGGUCAUUAUAUUAGUUUAGGGGAGGAGUUGGGAGGAUCCUUCAUCCAUUGUGACUGAUGUCCUCCUCAAAAGUGGGCAUCUGAGUGUGCAAGGACACUGACGAGAAGGCCACCACAUAAACACCAGUUCUCGUGUAACAAGCCAGGAUGCUGUCAGAGGCCCGAAGAGAGGCCUGGAAGACAUCCUUCCCUAACCUUCAGAGAGAGCUUGGCCUGGCAUACACCCUGGUCUCAGACCUCCAGCCUCCAGACCCAUGAGAGUGCAUGUGUCCCUUGCUGGAGCGUCCCAGACCUAGGAAACCAAUGCACACUUGCCCCUCCAGAGAAACUAUUCCAGGAAGCAUAGGCAGAAACUACCAGGCCACGCUCCUCCUACAUCCCAGGCCCCUACUCAAGUCAAGUCAGACAGUUUCUCCUGUGUCCCAGGCUUCCUGAGGGAGAAACUCCCACCCCAGUUCCUCAUCCAUAUACUGAAGUCCUUACCACCAGUGCUUUGGAAUGUGACUGUGCUUGCUGAUAUAGUUACUUUUCUUGCUUCUGCAACAGAAUGCUUUGCUCAUGAAAUGGAAAUGGGAACAGUAGUAGCCCCACUCAGUCCACUCCUGGUGUCAUGGGUCCCCAAGAUGGGUUUCAGCACUUAGACAAUUUUUGUAGACCACUGUGACCCCUACACACACACACACACACACACACACACACACACCUGCCUCCUUGCAUUUGGGUAUAAUCUACUCAACAGGUCUGAACAUCUGCAAACAAUGCCAAGGGCCAGGCCUGGAAUGACAGGGGUUCCAUCAUGGGCAGUGGCAC